CUUCACAGCAGACGUAGCACCAAUCCGCCUGUCGAAAAUUAAAAUGGAUAAAAUUAAACAGUUUAUCCAUAUCCAUACUUUACGGUAAUGACAAUAUAUCUAAUGAAAUGUAUAAAAUUGGCAAUAUGAUUAAAUAUAUGGGCAAAUACCAUAUUCACACAGGAAAAGGGAAACAUUUUAAUCCUUCCGUAACGCUGUUUAAAAUUGAAUUACAGGGAUAUUUUUCUUCUCUGUCACCUCUUAAAAGACUGUAAUAUGUCAUAGUUUGGGUUUUGUUUAGUUUUUAGUUUUAAACUUCUCUUUUUUAACCUGUUCACUCCUCUGUCACCAGCCAGUAAUCAAGUCAGUUCAGUUCACCUCUCAAUUACCAGCCACCACCCAACAAGUUUACCUGUCACCAGUCAUUAACCAGUCAGUUCUGUUCACCUCUCAGCCACCAGUCACUAACCAAUCAAUUUGUUCCACUCCCAGUCACCACCCUUCCUUAGAUCAAUUCCACCUAUUGCCAACGAUUAGUUUUCAACUCCGGUCACCUGUUAACUCCUCUAUUUAUUCCUGCCUCAGUCCACUCUUCAGGGCCAGAUUAUUUUGAGCCAUUCGCCUGCCCUCUGCCUGAUCUGAUGCCUGCCUGUUUACCUGACCGGUUCUGUCUCCGGAUAUCUGAGCUUGCCUGACCCCUGUUUGAUUAUUCAUACUUGCCUGUAACCGGACCUGGAUUUGUUUUCUGACUUUGUUCCCGGAUUCUGCUCUGGACUUCCCUGCACUUCUGAUUACCCGGUUUGUCUUUGGACUAUUGUUUGGAUUUCGAACUCUGUUUUUUCCUGUUCAUCAGUCUGCUUGCCUGUCACUCCUGUCCUUUUAAUAAACUGUCUAAAACGUU
Fundulus heteroclitus (mummichog) is the source of this 880-nucleotide long non-coding RNA. RefSeq lists it as uncharacterized. The transcript has 2 exons. The record is from RefSeq and is a predicted model, not a curated record. Lineage: Eukaryota; Metazoa; Chordata; Actinopteri; Cyprinodontiformes; Fundulidae.